UCGCAGCGCCGACACACGGGUUUGCUUCGACCCACCCCUUGCCUCUGCCACCCCCCCAGUCAGCCAGUCUACCCCGUGCUUUCUAGGGGAGCGCACACACAUACAGUGACAACGCGCCGCUUUGGACAACUCUCAGCUGUGCCAGAAACACGGUUAGGUUAGGUUGAAACUGUUUCUGGUAAAGACGCCAAGAUGGCGGCUGUAACAUCGCCACUCUUAGUAUUGCUCCUUCAAGCAGUGGUGUCGAUGGUAACAUCACAAAACCCCGAACCUCGCCCCACAGCACACCUCGUGGCAGCCGAUGUAAGUGCACGACGAGCCGUGGAAUGGCUUCUGAAACAAAGGUUAGAAGACUGGGGUUGGGGUAGCGACACCCCGAGAGCUGUCCUUGCUCUCCAACUUGCUAACAUAUCACCGUGGUUUGUACCCGACAACCUUGAGAGUCAGCUGUCAGGCAAGCAGAUGGAACUGGAAAUCCUGCUGCAUCUUUGGCGGCAUCACGACUCAGCGAUGACUCCAGGUCGACUGGCACAGUACACUCUUGCACUGAACGCGAUGUGUCGAGAUCCAAGGCAGUUUCAUGGCCAUGACCUCAUCGGAUCACUUCAACAUCAUGAGCCAGAACUGGAUUUUGAAUUUGCAUUCUCAUCUUUAGCUGUUUGCAGCUCGGGUGCACACGUCAGGAAACGACAAAUAAAACGUCUUAUGGACAUCGCCGAUAGAGCAAGCGAUCACAAUGUUGAUACGCUUUCCAUGGUAUUGCUGGCACUCAGCUGUAUCACGCGCGAUCACCGGAACCGGAAUCUGGAUCAUUACGUGAAGAAGCCAAGUUCUGGGCUGGCUGAGGAGCAGCGUGUGGAUGGCAGUUUUGGUAAUCUGCACAGCACGGCACUGGCGGUACAGGCUUUGGAGAUCGCGGAUGCCGAGUUAUCAAGCAAUGGUGGUAACAGUGGCCCUGUUAAUUGGAAUCGCAGCAGUGCUAUAAACUACAUGAUUUCGCAUCAGGCACCUGAUGGUUCGUUUGGUGACGUGUUCAGUACUACUGAAGUCGUACUUGGCUUAGGCUCACAUCAUCUGAACUCCAUCAGGGAUCUCAACUGUACUGGCAGCAAUACAGGUGCUGCUUUCGCUGCUAGUGUUCCCAGACUUCGCCCACCUACGGCAACAAUGCUGUCCCCUACCGCCGUGGCCAACGCAGACUUGAAUUUGACAGUGGAAGGCACAACGCCUCGAGAAAAUCCAAAAGGAGAGGAAUUUGUGACUGUGACAUACACAUUAUGGGUCGGAACAAAUGUGACAGAGAACUUCACCAUCACCGUGAUGGCCGAGAAAAAUUCAAGUUUCUAUCGUGUAAUGCAGAUCGCUGCAGAGCAGGAUGCUCAUUACCUAUUUGAGGCAACUGAGUGGCCCAACGGACAUUACGUGCACACCAUAGCAGGCUAUAAGGAGGAGCCGUCAUGUUACCAUUACUGGCUGCUGUACCAGGUACCAACCCUGCCUGAACCUGCCAGCCCCCCAGGAAACAAUCUCGUGACGCCUGUCGGUUUUCCAGCCAAUAUUCUGUGCACCUUUCUUGUCUCCCACUCUGUCUAGCUGCACAUUCUGCCCAUCAUGAACUUCAUUUGACCACUCUAAGAGUUCAAGGAGUUGAUGGCUUAGUUGUUGAAGAUGGCGAUCACUACCUUUUCUGGUACAAGAAGCUCUGAGUGCCACAAGAUGCGAUGUACACGACUGUACAAUGACCAUUUUCCUUUUCAGACCAAUACGUAUUCCGGCGUAACUUACUGAGAUAAAAUUGUAAGUGUGACCUAUAAACGCUGAACAACCUGCGACAUAUUAAACAGAAGGUGUACAGUUCUAACUUAACACAUAAUCCUUUAAAACUGACUGAGAAUUUGUAUUCAGCUUUAUUCUGCUUCUUGUAAUUCAUGAACCAAUUCCAUUUCCAUCUGGGUUGAAGAUGUUCACAUUUCUCUAUGACUUUUUUAAUAUUAUACUUUUUAUUACUACUCGUCCUUAACAGCACUUCUUGUUUUUGAAUUACUGAAGAAUUACAGAGUAAUUAAAUUACAGUAAUUAUUGGUAAAUCAAGUUUGUUUGCAAAGAUGGCUGCCAGGUGUAGUCUGAUACAAGUUUACUGAUGUUUUAGAAGUACUUGCUGCCUCCAUCAUCAGGGCAAUCUGAUACUGG
Zootermopsis nevadensis is the source of this 2190-nucleotide non-coding RNA. The record is from RefSeq and is a predicted model, not a curated record. Lineage: Eukaryota; Metazoa; Arthropoda; Insecta; Blattodea; Termopsidae.